This 473-nucleotide ribosomal RNA is filed under the name uncultured bacterium. RNAcentral describes it as "partial 16S ribosomal RNA". It matches the Rfam family "Bacterial small subunit ribosomal RNA", at positions 28 to 507 of the family's 1533-position model. The record is from RNAcentral.
GGUGAACGCUGGCGGCGUGCCUAAGACAUGCAAGUCGAGCGGGCCGCGGGGUUUUACUCCGUGGUCAGCGGCGGACGGGUGAGUAACGCGUGGGUGACCUACCCGGAAGAGGGGGACAACCCGGGGAAACUCGGGCUAAUCCCCCAUGUGGACCCGCCCCUUGGGGUGUGUCCAAAGGGCUUUGCCCGCUUCCGGAUGGGCCCGCGUCCCAUCAGCUAGUUGGUGGGGUAAUGGCCCACCAAGGCGACGACGGGUAGCCGGCCUGAGAGGGUGGCCGGCCACAGGGGCACGGCGACACGGGCCCGACUCCUACGGGAGGCAGCAGUUAGGAACAUUCCGCAAUGGGCGCAAGCCUGACGGAGAGACGCCGCUUGGAGGAAGAAGCCCUUCGGGGUGUAAACUCCUGAACCAGGGACGAAACCCCCGACGAGGGGACUGACGGUACCGGGGUAAUAGCGCCGGCCAACUCCGUG